Molecule: unclassified non-coding RNA, 518 nt
Filed under: Hevea brasiliensis (rubber tree)
Lineage: Eukaryota; Viridiplantae; Streptophyta; Magnoliopsida; Malpighiales; Euphorbiaceae
Source: RNAcentral
AAAAAAAAAAAAAAAAAAAACCAGAAGUAAUGGUGCCAAUUAUCCAACAAAUCAGGGGAAGAACAAAGAGAAGAAUGUUUACAACUUUGAAUAAAUCAACAGUCAAGACUGAAGAGAGCUUUAAGUUAUGAGGAAACAUGGCAAUCAUGAUUGAUAUGGCCUGUGUGCUUUGUCUGUCAGGAAGUAAAAUCCCCCAAAAAAAAAUUAUACAAACAAACUCUUAACUGUCUACCACUACUCAUACCCUGGGGAUUGAUCAGUGAUUAACUACAGCCAUAGAGGAAGAUGAAAAGAUUAUGAUGGAGACAUCAAAAUUUUUAUGAUCAUCCAAAAAACAAUCAGGAAUAUCACUCUUGAAAACCAAAGAACUAUCACCUUUUAAGUUGUUCGAAUAUUAGAGCCAGAGUAAGACACACAGCCACCGCACCAUCUACAUGAUAUGCAUCCAAAAAAUUUUGAUACUACAAUAUUUAUCAAGGUUUACAAACAUGGCCCAGUCAUUAAAUCAACGAAGGCAG